RNAcentral lists this long non-coding RNA (200 nucleotides) under Elaeis guineensis (African oil palm). RNAcentral describes it as "long non-coding RNA (EGUI_LNC023405)". Lineage: Eukaryota; Viridiplantae; Streptophyta; Magnoliopsida; Arecales; Arecaceae. The record is from RNAcentral.
GCUCCUACAAUUUGGAUCGAGCUAUACUCCCUUAGGUGUGGAUUGAGCUCUCUCACUGACUAUAUCCAGUGGACAGAGGUCAUCACCGACAAUCAGGCCUCGAUUGGGCAUCCCAUCGUCCCUAGUGACCUGGUUCUAUAUGUUGAGAAAAAUACCUUGAAAUUUGACCCACAGGUAAAACCACAGCGUGAAGAAGGCCC